UACAGAGGUCUCAAGCGUUGUUCGGAUUCAUUGGGCGUAAAGGGCGCGUAGGCGGCGCAACAAGUCACUUGUGAAAUCUCCGGGCUUAACCCGGAGCGGCCAAGUGAUACUGUCGUGCUAGAGUGCGGAAGGGGCUACUGGAAUUCUCGGUGUAGCGGUGAAAUGCGUAGAUAUCGAGAGGAACACCUGCGGCGAAGGCGGGUAGCUGGGCCGACAAUGACGCUGAGGCGCGAAAGCCAGGGGAGCGAACGGG
This 253-nucleotide ribosomal RNA is filed under the name uncultured bacterium. Its description in RNAcentral is "partial 16S ribosomal RNA". It matches the Rfam family "Bacterial small subunit ribosomal RNA", at positions 524 to 776 of the family's 1533-position model. The record is from RNAcentral.